RNAcentral lists this unclassified non-coding RNA (357 nucleotides) under soil metagenome. RNAcentral describes it as "partial contains 5.8S ribosomal RNA, internal transcribed spacer 2, and large subunit ribosomal RNA". The stretch from base 1 to 120 matches the Rfam family "5.8S ribosomal RNA", at positions 35 to 154 of the family's 154-position model. The record is from RNAcentral.
GAUGAAGAACGUAGCGAAAUGCGAUAAGUAAUGUGAAUUGCAGAAUUCAGUGAAUCAUCGAAUCUUUGAACGCACAUUGCGCCCAUUAGUAUUCUAAUGGGCAUGCCUGUUCGAGCGUCAUUUCAACCCUCAAGCCUUAGUUGCUUGGUGUUGGGAGCUUAUCCUGCCGAAAGGCGGGACAACUCCUUAAAAUCAUCGGCGGAGUCGCGGUGACCCCAAGCGCAGUAAUUCUCUUUUUCUCGCUUUAGGUGUUAACGCUGGCUUCUAGCCGGUAAAACCCCCCCCCCUAUUUCUAAUGGUUGACCUCGGAUCAGGUAGGACUACCCGCUGAACUUAAGCAUAUCAAUAAGCGGAGGA